This 497-nucleotide ribosomal RNA is filed under the name uncultured bacterium. Its description in RNAcentral is "partial 16S ribosomal RNA". It matches the Rfam family "Bacterial small subunit ribosomal RNA", at positions 28 to 507 of the family's 1533-position model. The record is from RNAcentral.
GAUGAACGCUGGCGGCGUGCCUAAUACAUGCAAGUCGAGCGAACAGACGAGGAGCUUGCUCCUCUGACGUUAGCGGCGGACGGGUGAGUAACACGUGGAUAACCUACCUAUAAGACUGGGAUAACUUCGGGAAACCGGAGCUAAUACCGGAUAAUAUAUUGAACCGCAUGGUUCAAUAGUGAAAGACGGUUUUGCUGUCACUUAUAGAUGGAUCCGCGCCGCAUUAGCUAGUUGGUAAGGUAACGGCUUACCAAGGCAACGAUGCGUAGCCGACCUGAGAGGCUGAUCGGCCACCCUGGAACUGAGACACGGUCCAGACUCCUACGGGAGGCAGCAGUAGGGAAUCUUCCGCAACGGGCGAAAGCCUGACGGAGCAACGCCGAGUGAGUGAUGAAGGUCUUCGGAUCGUAAAACUCUGUUAUUAGGGAAGAACAAAUGUGUAAGUAACUAUGCACGUCUUGACGGUACCUAAUCAGAAAGCCACGGCUAACUACGUG